This 171-nucleotide ribosomal RNA is filed under the name uncultured bacterium. RNAcentral describes it as "partial 16S ribosomal RNA". It matches the Rfam family "Bacterial small subunit ribosomal RNA", at positions 338 to 524 of the family's 1533-position model. The record is from RNAcentral.
CCUACGGGAGGCAGCAGUGGGGAAUAUUGCACAAUGGGCGCAAGCCUGAUGCAGCAACGCCGCGUGAAUGAUGAAGGCCUUCGCGUCGUAAAGUUCUGUCCUAGGGGAAGAAGAAGUGACGGUACCCUGGGAGGAAGCCCCGGCUAACUACGUGCCAGCAGCCGCGGUAAU